AAAUAUGCUUUUCUUUUUUUCCAAAAUAUGAUAAUUUCUUUGUUCAAAUUAUGUCAGUUUGAAAAGUAAAAGAAAGGUAAGAAAAGUUCCCAGGAAAUUGUGCAAGACCACCUCUCCUGCCCUGUAUUAGUACGUUAUCCUGACAAGCCCGCUCGAGGUGCAUUUCGAGGGCGUCUCAGGAGUACAAAAAAAUUGUAUUCCCUAUCAGGCAUUUCAGA
Molecule: long non-coding RNA, 218 nt
Organism: Lytechinus variegatus (green sea urchin)
Lineage: Eukaryota; Metazoa; Echinodermata; Echinoidea; Temnopleuroida; Toxopneustidae
Exons: 3
Source: RefSeq, a predicted model, not a curated record